This 426-nucleotide ribosomal RNA is filed under the name uncultured bacterium. RNAcentral describes it as "bacterial SSU rRNA". It matches the Rfam family "Bacterial small subunit ribosomal RNA", at positions 354 to 796 of the family's 1533-position model. The record is from RNAcentral.
GUGAGGAAUUUUCCGCAAUGGGCGAAAGCCUGACGGAGCAAUGCCGCGUGAAGGAUGAAGGCCUAUGGGUUGUAAACUUCUUUUCUCAGAAAAGAAUUAUGACGGUAUCUGAGGAAUAAGCAUCGGCAAACUCUGUGCCAGCAGCCGCGGUAAGACAGAGGAUGCAAGCGUUAUCCGGAAUGAUUGGGCGUAAAGCGUCUGUAGGUUGUUUAAAAAGUAUUCUGUCAAAGAUUAGGGCUUAACCCUAGAUAGGCAGAAUAAACUUUUAAGCUAGAGUUUGGUAGAGGCAGAGUGAAUUCCCGGUGGAGCGGUGAAAUGCGUAGAUAUCGGGAGGAACACCAAAGGCGAAGGCACUCUGCUGGGCCAAUACUAACACUGAGAGACGAAAGCGAGGGGAGCAAAUGGGAUUAGAAACCCCGGUAGUCC